CUCUGACCGGAAGGGCUAUUUUCCCAGGGUCUUUCAAAAGAUAUGCAGAGGUGUGACAUUGGCUGAGAGCACCUAGAGUUGAUGGCCUCCUUUUGCUUUAUCCCACGGUCGGCAGGGCCUCUUAGGGGGCUGAUUCUUCUCCGCUCUGUGCACCCAGAGGACAGAGAAACCAUCGUGAAGAGCAGGAAAGGUCCUGAAAGGAGGCAAGUCGCUCGAUCUCUCUUUCAGGUUCUUCCUCUGUCAUUUGAAGAAGCCCAUGAAUUUUUGUCUCCAAGAAAAGGCCUGGAAUCCUGCAACUCUGAGCUGAGGGCCAUGAUGAAGAAACCAAAGGGAAAUCUAUCCCAACUCUAGCUGCUCCUGUUUCACUCCGCCACUCUUUGACAGCCACUAGUUCUGCUUCCACAGUAAUUAAUGGCUCAUGCAGCUGCUUUGACAACAGAUUUGGGGCUUCUUUGGUUUCUGCCAUCAGCUUAGCCCCAUGCAGCCCUCCUUUAUCUGGGGGGAGAGGAGGGAAGGGGCUUAGAGGUGUGCUACCAGCCACCCCCAUCAUUGGGGGAGCAGAUGUUUUGAAUAUAGGGAGGUGUGAGAUUAAUGAGUCUCUCCUUUAAGACCCUGCCAUCAAAAUAGCAUGGCGUGUCAACUCAGGCUUUUUGCAGUUAUGAUCAGAAAUAAGCUAGCAAGGUGGACUUACUCAACACAGUAGCAUAAUAUAGUGCUCCACAUGCUUUUGUUUGUACUGUGACAUAGAUAUACGCAAGUGGAAGAGAGGCCCUGACAACUUCCUUGUUUUACAGUAAAGCAAAGAUGGUACUGAUUCCCAAAUCUUCAUUCAACCAAGUUCUCUCUUUCUUCAGAUUCAAACCAUUUAAUAUGCAUUGUACUGUAUAUUAACACAACAUGCAAAAAUGAACUGAUAACCUACCUUCAUGUCCCCUAAAAUGAACGUCUUCCUGAACUUGUGAUUCUCCUCAAGGUCCCUCACUAUAGCCAAGUCUGUCCAGUCCCCUUCUCUCAAUCCCAGUCACCUUCUCCACAAUCACUUCCCUAGCUUGGCCCCCAUCAUGUUUUGCCUGAAUUACCAUCACAGUCACUUCCUCCAGCCUUGUCCCCCUUUAACCCUGCAGGCAGCAUGGUCUUUUCAAGCAUGGGUAAGCUCCUAACCACCCAGUUCCAACACUUCAACAGCAUCCCAGGGCACUCAGGCUGCAGUCGAGUUUCUCAAAAAUAGCAUGUUUGCUUUCACCUUUAGGUCUUUGGCUGUUUACUCCUUGUGUCUGGAACUCUUAUUUCUCCAUCCUUGUCUCUGUCACUGGCUGUCCCCUACUCACCUCUUAGGUAUCUGAGUAGAUACUUCUAGCAGGACUUCCUCACCUUCCAGUGUUUAACAAUCCCUUCUCUGUUCACUUAGUCUUCUCUACUCUUCUCCACUCCCACUGACUUUGCAUUUAUCAGACUCUAUUAUAAUUGCCCAUUUACUUUCUAUAUCCUCAGUUCCCAGCAUAGAGCAAAAUGGAUACAAAGUAUUUUUUAAAGGAAUGAAUAAAUAGCCUGCCUAUUCUCCAUAUUCUCCAUCAUAAGAGAAACAGAGAGAGAGAAAGGAAGGGAAGGAGGAAGGGAGAGAGGAAGGAUUCAAGCAAAACAUGCUUAUCCCUACCAUCCACCACUUUCUGGUUAAAACUGACCAAAAGAAAAGAAAAGAGUGAAGAAAUACAGGAAUGUCAUGUUGUACCUGAAAACACCUUACCUUUAUAAUCCACCAAAGUGCAUAAUAUCCUCCACUUGUAUUCCUAAUCUCACCAGCUCCCAAUCCCUCAUGAAGUUUGUUCUAUCUAUUACCUGUGUAUUAUAAUUAACUGGGGAGCUUAAAAAAUACCAAUGCUCAGGACCCACCACAGACCCAUUAAGUCAGAACCUCUGGGGGUAGUGUGCCAUUAGGGUUAAUUGGGCUGAAUUAAGAUCUUCCCUUCCAAAACCUGUAUCUUUCUCUUUCUGUGGACUGAUUCCACUUAAUCAACAGGCUCAGAUUUCAUCUACAAUGAAACAAAACUAUUCUUGUCCCUGUGCACUUCUACAGUCACUGACCCUUCUUUGCUUCUCAUUCAAGUUUCCUAGAAGAGUAGCUUAUGUUGGCUAGCACCACUCACUCAUUGCUUUUUCUUCCCAUUACAACUUCUAUGUCCACCAUGCCGCUGAAUUUGGCCAAAUAAAAAGCACCAGUAGUACUUGUACUGCUAAAGGUAACACUCCUACAGCCAAAUGUCCUGUUCUUACCUCCAUAAAGAUCUCUGCAUUUAACAGGACUGAGACAGAUACACCCUAAGGUGACCCCAAUGCAUCACAUCCUUGUAAAUCCCCUCCCC
This is a long non-coding RNA of Dasypus novemcinctus (nine-banded armadillo), 2360 nucleotides long. The record is from Ensembl. NCBI's taxonomy places the organism in Eukaryota, Metazoa, Chordata, Mammalia, Cingulata, Dasypodidae.